Molecule: small nuclear RNA, 30 nt
Filed under: Arabidopsis thaliana (thale cress)
Lineage: Eukaryota; Viridiplantae; Streptophyta; Magnoliopsida; Brassicales; Brassicaceae
Description: snRNA_14129
Source: RNAcentral
UGAACCGGAAGCCGGGUUACGGUGCCCAAC